AAAGUAAAAUCGAUUUGUCGCUUCUGUUGACAUUUCGGAAUUGGGUUGUCUUAUCCUUUCGGGUUAAGAGACCUGAAAUUGACGCUUCUUUGCGCAUCCUGAACGUGUGUAAUUCAUUUAUCCGUUUUCGGUGCCGAAUUCUAUUAGGUAUGGUCAUGUCGUGUGGUCUCGUACCUAUAAUUCAUCAUG
Molecule: unclassified non-coding RNA, 189 nt
Filed under: uncultured Glomerales
Lineage: Eukaryota; Fungi; Glomeromycota; Glomeromycetes; Glomerales; Glomeraceae
Description: sequence contains ITS2
Source: RNAcentral